UACGGGGGGUGCAAGCGUUAAUCGGAAUGACUGGGCGUAAAGGGCACGCAGGCGGUUGAUUAAGUUAGAUGUGAAAUCCCCGGGCUUAACCUGGGAACUGCAUUUAAAACUGGUCAGCUAGAGUCUUGUAGAGGGGGGUAGAAUUCCACGUGUAGCGGUGAAAUGCGUAGAGAUGUGGAGGAAUACCGGUGGCGAAGGCGGCCCCCUGGACAAAGACUGACGCUCAGGUGCGAAAGCGUGGGGAGCAAACAGG
Molecule: ribosomal RNA, 253 nt
Filed under: uncultured bacterium
Lineage: Bacteria
Description: partial 16S ribosomal RNA
Rfam family: Bacterial small subunit ribosomal RNA
Source: RNAcentral